RNAcentral lists this ribosomal RNA (466 nucleotides) under uncultured bacterium. Its description in RNAcentral is "partial 16S ribosomal RNA". It matches the Rfam family "Bacterial small subunit ribosomal RNA", at positions 28 to 507 of the family's 1533-position model. The record is from RNAcentral.
GAUGAACGCUGGCGGCGUGCUUAACACAUGCAAGUCGAACGAUGAAGCCCAGCUUGCUGGGUGGAUUAGUGGCGAACGGGUGAGUAACACGUGAGUACCCUGCCCUUAACUCUGGGAUAAGCCUGGGAAACUGGGUCUAAUACCGGAUAGGAGCGUCCACCGCAUGGUGGGUGUUGGAAAGAUUUAUCGGUUUUGGAUGGACUCGCGGCCUAUCAGCUUGUUGGUGAGGUAAUGGCUCACCAAGGCGACGACGGGUAGCCGGCCUGAGAGGGUGACCGGCCACACUGGGACUGAGACACGGCCCAGACUCCUACGGGAGGCAGCAGUGGGGAAUAUUGCACAAUGGGCGCAAGCCUGAUGCAGCGACGCCGCGUGAGGGAUGACGGCCUUCGGGUUGUAAACCUCUUUCAGUAGGGAAGAAGCGAAAGUGACGGUACCUGCAGAAGAAGCACCGGCUAACUACGUG